Molecule: long non-coding RNA, 1270 nt
Organism: Beta vulgaris subsp. vulgaris (sugar beet)
Lineage: Eukaryota; Viridiplantae; Streptophyta; Magnoliopsida; Caryophyllales; Amaranthaceae
Exons: 3
Source: RefSeq, a predicted model, not a curated record
AAGUACCAAAAUGUAUUUUUUUUUCCCAUAGAUCAAUUAUUCUCUUCAAGAUUUCAGUUUAAUUAUCCAAGUGGUUAAGAAUUGGGAGAAACCUUAAAACUAAAAUUAAACCCCAAACAAUAAUUUUCUCUCUCCUCUGAUUUUAUACCCCGUACUGUGCAUGCUCAAUUUAUGUAUUCUGGAGUCGAAAUUUACCCAAACUUAUCACAUGAAAGUUGUAGAUCUCGAAAAGUUAUUGAACUUAGACCCAAAAAUCACUUGAUUUGGAGUUCGGAGCUAUGAGUUAUGGUCUUUUUGUAGAUCACUUCGAGCUAAUGAAUUUGAACACAAAAAUCGCUCAAUUUGGAGUUCGGAGCUAUGAGUUACACCUUACACAAGUUCAGCACUAUUGUUGUACUUUGUGUUGCGCUGCUGCCGUGGUUGGCUUGUUUGCCUUGUUGCUGCCAUUAUUUUGGUAUUACUUUUCAUAUGAAGGUCGUUGUUGGAGUAUGUAUAUGGAGAUAAUUAUGAAGUUCGAGCUAUAGUUGGUUAUCAAAAUGUCGAAUUAUUGGGAAUUGUUUCAAGGUACACACAUGUCCUUCCACCUUUGAAUCUAUAUUCGUGUUUUAUGUGAUUUCAUGUGCUGAGCUUAAUAAGCCUUUUAUAUAAAUACAAAAUUAUUCAAAGUGUUAUUCGUGUGUUUACAAGAGUUGUUAACUACAUAUUUGGUUUUAAGCUAUGAGCGAAAGCUAUAUAUGUGAUGAGUUUUACUGAGUGAUAUUUUUAUGAAGAACUGAUUGGAGGUAGUUGAAUCCUUCAAUAAUAUAGAUGUGUGAUAUUAUUAAACCUACUUGUUUCCACAUCGAAUUUAUAAUAAGUUUCUUAUGCUUAGUAAGUUGAUCUUUUAUAUGAAAGUGUAGCUAUGAGAAUUAAAGCAAGGAUCUUUAGUAUAUCUAACUAUAUAAGUGGUUUUACAACAAGUACUUCGAUUUACGAACUAAGCCAGGACGUCGACUCAAUAUCUUUAUGAACUCGCUUUCGAUUUAAACUAUAGUUAUAUUUGAAAGUUUCAGAGAAAAAGAAAGGAAUUUUGAUCAAGGAUGUUGAGUUAAAAUUUUAGGUUUAAGACAAUUGUGAAAAUAUUUGUGAUAUAAGUUUUAUAUGGAAUUCUGAAAGUAUGAAAAACUCUUUAUUAUGGUUUGAGAUUUUGAUUAUAUAUGAUCAUGAACUUUGAAAAUUAUGACUUGGAGUUAUGAACAAAUAUGGACUCGUGAAAUUAUAAAUCAGAAUU